GAUGAACGCUGGCGGCGUGCCUAAUACAUGCAAGUCGAGCGAACAGAUAAGGAGCUUGCUCCUUUGACGUUAGCGGCGGACGGGUGAGUAACACGUGGAUAACCUACCUAUAAGACUGGGAUAACUUCGGGAAACCGGAGCUAAUACCGGAUAACAUAUUGAACCGCAUGGUUCAAUAGUGAAAGGCGGCUUUGCUGUCACUUAUAGAUGGAUCCGCGCCGUAUUAGCUAGUUGGUAAGGUAACGGCUUACCAAGGCAACGAUACGUAGCCGACCUGAGAGGGUGAUCGGCCACACUGGAACUGAGACACGGUCCAGACUCCUACGGGAGGCAGCAGUAGGGAAUCUUCCGCAAUGGGCGAAAGCCUGACGGAGCAACGCCGCGUGAGUGAUGAAGGUCUUCGGAUCGUAAAACUCUGUUAUCAGGGAAGAACAAAUGUGUAAGUAACUGUGCACAUCUUGACGGCACCUGAUCAGAAAGCCACGGCUAACUACGUG
RNAcentral lists this ribosomal RNA (497 nucleotides) under uncultured bacterium. RNAcentral describes it as "partial 16S ribosomal RNA". It matches the Rfam family "Bacterial small subunit ribosomal RNA", at positions 28 to 507 of the family's 1533-position model. The record is from RNAcentral.